AGCAGCCGCGGUAAUUCCAGCUCCAAUAGCGUAUAUUAAAGUUGUUGCAGUUAAAAAGCUCGUAGUUGAAUUUCGGGGUCAGCAAGUUGGUCGUGCCACUGGUAUGUACUGGCUUUGCUGAUUCCUCCUUCUUGUAGAACCGUAAUGCCAUUUAGUUGGUGUUGCGGGGAAACAGGACUGUUACUUUGAAAAAAUUAGAGUGUUUAAAGCAGGCUAACGCCUGAAUACAUUAGCAUGGAAUAAUGAAAUAGGACGAGCGAUCCUAUUUUGUUGGUUUCUAGGAUUGACGUAAUGAUUAAUAGGGAUAGUUGGGGGCAUUAGUAUUCAAUUGUCAGAGGUGAAAUUCUUGGAUUUAUUGAGGACUGACUACUGCGAAAGCAUUUGCCAAGGAUGUUUUCAUUAAUCAAGAACGAAAGUUAGGGGAUCGAAGACGAUCAGAUACCGUCGUAGUCUUAACCAUAAACUAUGCCGACUAGGGAUCGGAUGAUGUUAAUUUUUAAUGACUCAUUCGGCGCCUUAA
Molecule: ribosomal RNA, 520 nt
Filed under: uncultured Glomus
Lineage: Eukaryota; Fungi; Glomeromycota; Glomeromycetes; Glomerales; Glomeraceae
Description: SSU rRNA
Rfam family: Eukaryotic small subunit ribosomal RNA
Source: RNAcentral